Molecule: ribosomal RNA, 497 nt
Filed under: uncultured bacterium
Lineage: Bacteria
Description: partial 16S ribosomal RNA
Rfam family: Bacterial small subunit ribosomal RNA
Source: RNAcentral
GAUGAACGCUGGCGGCGUGCCUAAUACAUGCAAGUCGAGCGAACAGACGAGGAGCUUGCUCCUCUGACGUUAGCGGCGGACGGGUGAGUAACACGUGGAUAACCUACCUAUAAGACUGGGAUAACUUCGGGAAACCGGAGCUAAUACCGGAUAAUAUAUUGAACCGCAUGGUUCAAUAGUGAAAGACGGUUUUGCUGUCACUUAUAGAUGGAUCCGCGCCGCAUUAGCUAGUUGGUAAGGUAACGGCUUACCAAGGCAACCAUGCGUAGCCGACCUGAGAGGGUGAUCGGCCACACUGGAACUUGGACACGGUCCAGACUCCUACGGGAGGCGACAGUAGGGAAUCUUCCGCAAUGGGCGAAAGCCUGACGGAGCAACGCCGCGUGAGUGAUGAAGGUCUUCGGAUCGUAAAACUCUGUUAUUAGGGAAGAACAAAUGUGUAAGUAACUAUGCACGUCUUGACGGUACCUAAUCAGAAAGCCACGGCUAACUACGUG